Molecule: transfer RNA, 73 nt
Organism: Culex pipiens (northern house mosquito)
Lineage: Eukaryota; Metazoa; Arthropoda; Insecta; Diptera; Culicidae
Rfam family: tRNA
About the family: Transfer RNA (tRNA) molecules are approximately 80 nucleotides in length. Their secondary structure includes four short double-helical elements and three loops (D, anti-codon, and T loops).
Source: Rfam
GCAGCCGUGACUCUCUGGUUACGGUGUUCGCUUUGUAAGCGAAUGAUCCUGGGUUCGAUUCCCAUCUGCUCCA